GCAGUAAAAGCCUUGAGCCUGAUGAUUUUGCCAGAGAUGCCAGUGUGGAUGGAGAAAACUCAGAGCCUGUGUCUCAGGGCACUCUGGUGUGAGCAGGAAGGGCAACGAGGAAGAAAAGAGCAACAGAGGCUGGGAGGGAACCACUAGGAAGGGAGAAGAACAAGCAGGAGAGUGUGGGUCUGAUGCUCAAAGUGCUUCGAGGUUGGGGUGACCAGUGGGGUCAGAUGCUGUGGACAGAUCAGGUGGGAAGGAGACUGAAAAUGGGCUGUUGGCACCGUGACGGUCACAGAGUGGUGGACAGACCCUGGCAUGGAGCCCUAACUCGGGCUUCCUCACAGCAUGGCUGCCCUGGGGGCAGUCAGACCGCAGAACAGGGAUCGUCGCAGCGAGUGCGACUCUGCCCUGGGGACACAUAACAUCUGUCACUUUUGCUCACUUGGUCAAAAUACUCACAGAAGCCCACCCUAGUUCACAGGGGAGGGACAUAAACAUUCUCCAUGGGAGGAGUGUCAAGAAUUGACAGAUGUGUUUUAGAUUCACUCCAAGAACUCUGUCAAGGAGUUUUACAAUCAAGACGAACAAAGAAAUUGGGCCCACUGGGGAGAAGUGUGGGUUGAGUGAAUCUGUUCUUUUCCAAGAUGGAAGAAGGCCCUUUCAUGCUUGUCAUGUAUGCUGUUUGAGUUUCCUGGAUGGACACAUGAUGGCAUAUACACGUGGAUGGAAAGAGCCUGGAUGGAUAGUCAGGAAACUAGUGGGACUCAGCAUCUCCAUCUGAAAGAUGAAUGUGGACAGCAUCUGCUUUGAGAGACCCUGUCAGCAAUGGUGGCCACAGUUUUUGAGACCUGAGCAGGCUACAGCCCAUAGGGCUGCGAAGAGCCAGACAGGACUGAGCUUCUGAGCACACAUACCUGUAGCUUCAGCCAUUCCUUGGUGGUUUUUUUUUUUUAGUACUUUUAUAAGCCACAUUCCCUGGGAAGAUCUUUAAUUUUUCUGUGCCAUCCAGAGGCUUCUUAGAGAACAAAACAAUGCUGAUUAAAAAGAGCUGUUAUCGUACGUGUGAAAAGCAAAAUACUAUGUGGGUAUUUUG
RNAcentral lists this long non-coding RNA (1087 nucleotides) under Bos indicus x Bos taurus (hybrid cattle). RNAcentral describes it as "lncRNA (ENSBIXG00005017591.1)". Lineage: Eukaryota; Metazoa; Chordata; Mammalia; Artiodactyla; Bovidae. The record is from RNAcentral.